This 975-nucleotide long non-coding RNA is filed under the name Homo sapiens (human). RNAcentral's name for it is "non-protein coding lnc-OR2S2-1:1". The record is from RNAcentral. Lineage: Eukaryota; Metazoa; Chordata; Mammalia; Primates; Hominidae.
AUGAGCAGCGAGGCCGAGACCCAGCAGCCGCCCGCCGCUCCCCCACGCCGCCCCCGCCCUCAGCGCCGCCGACACCCACCCCAGCACUGCAGGCAGCGGCGCAGGAAGCGGUGGCCCGGGCGGCCUCACAUCGGCGGCGCCUGCCGGCGGGGACAAGAAGGUCAUCGCAACGAAGGUUUUGGGAACAGUAAAAUGGUUCAGUGUAAGGAACGGAUAUGGUUUCAUCAACAGGAAUGACACCAAGGAAGAUGUAUUUGUACACCAGACUGCCAGAAAGAAGAAUAACCCCAGGAAGUACCUUCGCAGUGUAGGAGAUGGAGAGACUGUGGAGUUUGAUGUUGUUGAAGGAGAAAAGGGUGCGGAGGCAGCAAAUGUUACAGGGCCUGGUGGUGUUCCAGUUCAAGGCAGUACAUAUGCAGCAGACCGUAACCAUUAUAGACGCUAUCCACGUCGUAGGGUCCUCCACGCAAUUACCAGCAAAAUUACCAGAAUAGUGAGAGUGGGGAAAAGAACGAGGGAUCGGAGAGUGCUCCCGCAGGCCAAGCCCAACAACGCCGGCCCUACCGCAGGCGAAGGUUCCCACCUUACUACAUGCGGAGACCCUAUGGGCGUCGACCACAGUAUUCCAACCCUCCUGUGCAGGGUGAAGUGAUGGAGGGUGCUGACAACCAGGGUGCAGGAGAACAAGGUAGACCAGUGAGGCAGAAUACGUAUCGGGGAUAUAGACCACGAUUCCGCAGGGGCCCUCCACGCCAAAGACAGCCUAGAGAGGACGGCAAUGAUGAAGAUAAAGAAAAUCAAGGAGAUGAGACCCAAGGUCAGCAGCCACCUCAACGUCGGUACCGCCGCAACUUCAAUUGCCGACGCAGACACCCAGAAAACCCUAAACCACAAGAUGGCAAAGAGACAAAAGCAGCCGAUCCACCAGCUGAGAAUUCGUCCACUCCUGAGGCUGAGCGGGGCAGGACUGAGUAA